Molecule: ribosomal RNA, 273 nt
Filed under: uncultured bacterium
Lineage: Bacteria
Description: partial 16S ribosomal RNA
Rfam family: Bacterial small subunit ribosomal RNA
Source: RNAcentral
CCGCCGGCGACCGGCGCACGGGUGAGUAACACGUAUGCAACCUGGCCGUGACAGAUGGAUAACCGGGAGAAAUCCCGCCUAAUACAACAUAAUGCCGGGAGGGGACAUCCCCUGCCGGUCAAAGGGGGCGACCCCGGUCAUGGAUGGGCAUGCGGCGCAUUAGGUAGUUGGUGGGGCAACGGCCCACCAAGCCGACGAUGCGUAGGGGUUCUGAGAGGAAGGUCCCCCACAUUGGAACUGAGACACGGUCCAAACUCCUACGGGAGGCAGCAG